AAGUCGUAACAAGGUUUCCGUAGGUGAACCUGCGGAAGGAUCAUUAACGAGUAAUUGGACAGGUUGUAGCUGGCCUCUCUUGGGGCAUGUGCACGCCUGGCUCAUCCUCCUCUUCUUCAACCUCUGUGCACUUGUUUUGUAGGGUGGUGUGAAAAAGCAAAGUUCUCUUGGAAAUUUGCUCGGAAGCCUUCCUAUGUUUCAUUACAAACGCUGCAGUCUGAGAAUGUAAUUUUUGUGCGUAUAAUGCGUCUACAAUACAACUUUCAGCAACGGAUCUCUUGGCUCUC
Molecule: unclassified non-coding RNA, 287 nt
Filed under: air metagenome
Description: partial contains small subunit ribosomal RNA, internal transcribed spacer 1, and 5.8S ribosomal RNA
Rfam family: Eukaryotic small subunit ribosomal RNA (bases 1-46)
Source: RNAcentral